UAGAGUUUGAUUCUGGCUCAGAACGAACGCUGGCGGCAGGCCUAACACAUGCAAGUCGAGCGCACCUUCGGGUGAGCGGCGGACGGGUUAGUAACGCGUGGGAACAUACCCUUUUCUACGGAAUAGCCUCGGGAAACUGAGAGUAAUACCGUAUAAGCCCUUCGGGGGAAAGAUUUAUCGGGAAAGGAUUGGCCCGCGUUANAUUANAUAGUUGGUGGGGUAAUGGCCUACCAAGUCUACGAUCUAUAGCUGGUUUUAGAGGAUGAUCANCAACACUGGGACUGAGACACGGCCCAGACUCCUACGGGAGGCAGCAGUGGGGAAUCUUAGACAAUGGGCGCAAGCCUGAUCUAGCCAUGCCGCGUGUGUGAUGAAGGUCUUAGGAUCGUAAAGCACUUUCGCCAGGGA
Molecule: ribosomal RNA, 408 nt
Filed under: bacterium enrichment culture clone B04_D2_030 (1/77)
Lineage: Bacteria
Description: bacterial SSU rRNA
Rfam family: Bacterial small subunit ribosomal RNA
Source: RNAcentral